This 30-nucleotide non-coding RNA is filed under the name Rattus norvegicus (Norway rat). Lineage: Eukaryota; Metazoa; Chordata; Mammalia; Rodentia; Muridae. The record is from RNAcentral.
UCAAUGCCUCUUCCUUAUGGGGAAAACUGA